UAGCCAUGCGGAUACUACGCUUGACGAAA
RNAcentral lists this small RNA (29 nucleotides) under Bombyx mori (domestic silkworm). Its description in RNAcentral is "ovarian small RNA-22343". Lineage: Eukaryota; Metazoa; Arthropoda; Insecta; Lepidoptera; Bombycidae. The record is from RNAcentral.